UGCCAAACUCUAGCCCAAAAGACAUUGACCUGGAAUAACAAAGCCACUCACUACACCCAACCAAAGCAUUUGUUAGUCUUAGUAUAGGCGAUAGAAAAGACACCACUGGAGCGAUAGAGACCACGUACCGUAAGGGAAAGAUGAAAUAGCAGUGAAAUAACUAAGCUAAAAACAGCAAAGAUCAGCCCUUGUACCUCUUGCAUCAUGGUCUAGCAAGAAAAACCAAGCAAAAUGAAUUGUAGUUUGCCUCCCCGAAACCCAAGCGAGCUACUUACGAGCAGCUACUUUGAGCGAACCCGUCUCUGUGGCAAAAGAGUGGGAUGACUUGUUAGUAGAGGUGAAAAGCCAACCGAGCUGGGUGAUAGCUGGUUGCCUGUGAAACGAAUCUUAGUUCACUCUUAAUUCUUCUCCAAGGAACACCUGAACCCUAAUGAAGCGAAUUAAGGGCUAUUUAAAGGGGGUACAGCUCCUUUAAAAAAGAGUACAAUCUCCACGAGCGGAUAAGCAAAUAUUUCCACCAUACUGUGGGCCCUCAAGCAGCCAUCAACAAAGAGUGCGUUAAAGCUCUACUACCAAAAAUAUAUGAACACUGCGACUCCCUCCUCAUUAACAGGCUAACCUAUAGUCAAUAGGAGAAUUAAUGCUAGAAUGAGUAACCUGGGUCCUCCCUCUUCGACGCAAGCUUACAUCUUUACAUUAUUAACAAACCACCCAUAUACGACCAAUCCAACAAGCACAGUAUUAGGCAUUUUGUUAACCCGACAAAGGAGCGUCCGCUAAGAAAGAUUAAAACCUGUAAAAGGAACUAGGCAAACCCGUCAAGGCCCGACUGUUUACCAAAAACAUAGCCUUCAGCAAACCCCCAACAAGUAUUGAAGGUGAUGCCUGCCCGGUGACCUGAGGUUUAACGGCCGCGGUAUCCUGACCGUGCAAAGGUAGCGCAAUCAAUUGUCCCGUAAAUCGGGACUAGUAUGAAUGGCUAAACGAGGUCUUAACUGUCUCUUACAGGCGAUCGGUGAAAUUGAUCUCCCUGUGCAAAAGCAGGGAUAACCCCAUAAGACGAGAAGACCCUGUGGAACUUCAAAACCAACAGCCACCCUAGGUUAUCUACACCCCCACUGGGCUCACACCUACCCUGGCUCCUGGCUGGUGUUUUUCGGUUGGGGCGACCUUGGAGAAAAACAAAUCCUCCAAAAAUUAGACCAUCCCUCUAGACUGAGAGCAACCCCUCAACGUGCUAAUAGCAACCAGACCCAAUAUAAUUGAUCAAUGGACCAAGCUACCCCAGGGAUAACAGCGCAAUCUCCCCCGAGAGUCCAUAUCGACGAGGAGGUUUACGACCUCGAUGUUGGAUCAGGACAUCCUAGUGGUGCAGCCGCUACUAAGGGUUCGUUUGUUCAACGAUUAACAGUCCUACGUGAUCUGAGUUCAGACCGGAGCAAUCCAGGUCGGUUUCUAUCUAUGAUGAACCCUUCCCAGUACGAAAGGAUAGGAAGAGUGGGGCCAAUGCCACAAGUAAGCCCCCGCCCCAAGUGGUGAAACCAACUAAACUGCGAAAGGCUAUCACACCACACCACGUCCUAGAAAAGGAC
RNAcentral lists this ribosomal RNA (1592 nucleotides) under Campylorhynchus zonatus (band-backed wren). Its description in RNAcentral is "16S ribosomal RNA". It matches the Rfam family "Bacterial large subunit ribosomal RNA". The record is from RNAcentral. Lineage: Eukaryota; Metazoa; Chordata; Aves; Passeriformes; Certhiidae.